GCCGGUGAUUUAGCUUGGUGUGUACCACCCGAUACCAUUCCGAACUCGGAAGUGAAAAUGCUAAGCGCUGAUGAUAGUCUUUUAUGGCGAAAGUAGGUUUCGCCGGCA
This 108-nucleotide ribosomal RNA is filed under the name bacterium. The record is from RNAcentral.